CGUGAACCGUCUAUGUCGUACGUUGAACCUGUCAUGUGACGGUGCUGUGCCAGCUGCAGUGCUUCCUGUGUGGUGUGCAUGUGCGAACCAGCAAUGCCAGGUCACCAAUGAGCAGAAGGGAUCCGGAUUGGUCGGCGCAACAUGAAACCAAUCUCAAAGCUCCCAUGAAGUCAUAUGAAGGCAGAGGGGAGAUAUGGAAGAGAGAAUGCAGAACCGCCCUAACCAAUUUGAUGCCCAUGGGGUCAUUCCGUGUCAAGUGGAACAAUUUUGAAAAUUGUCCUCACUUCACCAUCUCCGAUUUUGUUGAAAUUUUGCAUGAAAGUUGGUAUAUAUGCUUGUAUAAUUAACUUUGGUAAAGUUUCAGUUCACAGAAUGCAAUAUUAGUGGAGUUGUGGCACUUGUAGUGGAGGUAGGUAAAACUGUCACAGAAUCCACGGUGCACAAUCAGCAAUGUUCAAGUAAUUGCUGUGGCAGAUC
Molecule: long non-coding RNA, 477 nt
Organism: Pseudophryne corroboree (corroboree frog)
Lineage: Eukaryota; Metazoa; Chordata; Amphibia; Anura; Myobatrachidae
Exons: 3
Source: RefSeq, a predicted model, not a curated record